CUACGGGUGGCAGCAGUGGGGAAUAUUGGACAAUGGGCGAAAGCCUGAUCCAGCCAUGCCGCGUGUGUGAAGAAGGCCUUCGGGUUGUAAAGCACUUUCAGUGGGGAAGAAAGCCUUGGGGCUAAUACCCUCGAGGAAGGACAUCACCCACAGAAGAAGCACCGGCUAACUCCGUGCCAGCAGCCGCGGUAAUACGGAGGGUGCGAGCGUUAAUCGGAAUUACUGGGCGUAAAGCGCGCGUAGGCGGUCUGAUAAGCCGGUUGUGAAAGCCCCGGGCUCAACCUGGGAACGGCAUCCGGAACUGUCAGGCUAGAGUGCAGGAGAGGAAGGUAGAAUUCCCGGUGUAGCGGUGAAAUGCGUAGAGAUCGGGAGGAAUACCAGUGGCGAAGGCGGCCUUCUGGACUGACACUGACGCUGAGGUGCGAAAGCGUGGGUAGCAAACAGGAUUAGAUACCCUAGUAGUC
RNAcentral lists this ribosomal RNA (464 nucleotides) under Vreelandella stevensii. RNAcentral describes it as "partial 16S ribosomal RNA". It matches the Rfam family "Bacterial small subunit ribosomal RNA", at positions 339 to 795 of the family's 1533-position model. The record is from RNAcentral. Lineage: Bacteria; Pseudomonadati; Pseudomonadota; Gammaproteobacteria; Oceanospirillales; Halomonadaceae.